This 103-nucleotide microRNA precursor is filed under the name Marmota monax (woodchuck). Lineage: Eukaryota; Metazoa; Chordata; Mammalia; Rodentia; Sciuridae. The record is from RNAcentral.
AGUGGGAUAGCUGGGUCAUAUGGUGGUUCCAUUCCAAGUUUUCUAAGGAAUUUCCAUACAGCUUUCCAUAGUGGUUGCACCAAUUUGCAAUCCCAUCAGUAAU